CUCCUAAAAAGAAGGCUCCAAAAUAACGUAAUUUUGGGGAAAGAAAAAAAAUUAAGAAAGAAUAAAGGAGAAAAAAGAAACAAAAGCAAGAUAUAAUUAUGAGUAAGGAUUUAGGUGUGGUGGUAAAGAUCUUGACAAACUUGCUAGAGGUUUUAGGUUUGAACCUCAACUAGAGCAUGUAAUCUGUUGAAGAAUAAGAACGUCGCAUGCUAGCCUCAUGAUGCACCACAUGUCAACAUCUUGAUGUGCCACGUGGUAACCUAGUCUUGAAGUGUGACAAGGCAAUGCCACAUCAGUGUGUCAAGGUGACGUGGCAAUACCAUGUCAGCACAAAAGGUGACGUGGCACUUUGAGUUCGAGUGCUGACAUCAACACCAUAGCGAUAAAUUUAAAUAAAAAAUGUUAGAGGGACGAAAUUGAUACAAUUGUCAAAAUGAAUGUGUCAUGACCUGGUACUCCUCUCGAGCCCGUGACAACCGCCGCGACGUCUCUGUAGACAUUUGUUACCCGGAGUGCCAACUGGAACCCCGCAAGGCUUUAGUACCAUUUUUCUCAUCUCCCCCGUGAGUAAUCAUCGUCAAACCUCGUUUUUAAAGAAUUUUAAGCUUUUUCCCCUUCAAAAUCAUGAAAAAAUAAUUUUCGCCUCACAAGGGUAUUUUCGUCUUUUUUUCUCAAAAUUUUUUGAACCCAACUAAAAAUGUAGUAGAUGAGUGGAAAACACAUAUUUCAUAAUUUAAAAUAAAUUUGGGUGUCUAAAACAUUUAUUAAAAAUGAUAUUGCAACUAUUUGAAUAAAAUAAAAAUUUUAAUAAAAUAUUCUAAUUUCUUGUAAAAUAAUAUUUAUAGAGUCAUCGGUAAAUAAUUUUUGUAAUAUAAAAG
This 878-nucleotide long non-coding RNA is filed under the name Theobroma cacao (cacao). RNAcentral's name for it is "long non-coding RNA (TCAC_LNC002600)". Lineage: Eukaryota; Viridiplantae; Streptophyta; Magnoliopsida; Malvales; Malvaceae. The record is from RNAcentral.